CAGCCGUAAACAAUGUGCGUUAGGUGUGUCGGUAACCACGCGUUACUGAUGCGCCGAAGAGAAAUCGUGAAACGCACCACCUGGGAAGUACGGUCGCAAGGCUGAAACUUAAAGGAAUUGGCGGGGGGAGCACCACAACAGGUGGAGCCUGCGGUUUAAUUUGGAUUCAACGCCGGACAUCUCACCGGAUAAGACAGCUGAAUGAUUGUCAAUCUGAAGGUUUUACAUGACUAGCUGAGAGGUGGUGCAUGGCGUCAGUGACU
Molecule: ribosomal RNA, 263 nt
Filed under: uncultured archaeon
Lineage: Archaea
Description: partial 16S ribosomal RNA
Rfam family: Archaeal small subunit ribosomal RNA
Source: RNAcentral